RNAcentral lists this ribosomal RNA (170 nucleotides) under Lysobacteraceae bacterium. RNAcentral's name for it is "partial 23S ribosomal RNA". It matches the Rfam family "Bacterial large subunit ribosomal RNA", at positions 2768 to 2925 of the family's 2925-position model. Lineage: Bacteria; Pseudomonadati; Pseudomonadota; Gammaproteobacteria; Lysobacterales; Lysobacteraceae. The record is from RNAcentral.
CCGCUGAAAGCAUCUAAGCGGGAAGCGCGCCUCAAGAUGAGAUCUCCCGGGGCACAAGCCCCCUAAAGGAACCAUCAAGACUAGGUGGUUGAUAGGUCAGGUGUGUAAGCGCAGCAAUGCGUUGAGCUAACUGAUACUAAUGAUCCGUGUGGCUUGACCAUAUAACCUCA